RNAcentral lists this transfer RNA (76 nucleotides) under Bacillota bacterium. RNAcentral's name for it is "tRNA-Met". It matches the Rfam family "tRNA". Rfam says of the family: Transfer RNA (tRNA) molecules are approximately 80 nucleotides in length. Their secondary structure includes four short double-helical elements and three loops (D, anti-codon, and T loops). RNAcentral also lists the same sequence under 1 other name. The record is from RNAcentral. Lineage: Bacteria; Bacillati; Bacillota.
CGCGGGGUGGAGCAGUUGGUAGCUCGUCAGGCUCAUAAUCUGAAGGUCGAGGGUUCGAGUCCCUCCCCCGCAACCA